GAUGAACGCUGGCGGCGUGCUUAACACAUGCAAGUCGAACGGUGAAGGCGGAGCUUGCUCUGCUGGAUCAGUGGCGAACGGGUGAGUAACACGUGAGCAAUCUGCCCCUGACUCUGGGAUAAGCGCUGGAAACGGCGUCUAAUACUGGAUACGAGCUGCGAAGGCAUCUUCAGCAGCUGGAAAGAACUUCGGUCAGGGAUGAGCUCGCGGCCUAUCAGCUUGUUGGUGAGGUAACUGCUCACCAAGGCGUCGACGGGUAGCCGGCCUGAGAGGGUGACCGGCCACACUGGGACUGAGACACGGCCCAGACUCCUACGGGAGGCAGCAGUGGGGAAUAUUGCACAAUGGGCGAAAGCCUGAUGCAGCAACGCCGCGUGAGGGACGACGGCCUUCGGGUUGUAAACCUCUUUUAGCAGGGAAGAAGCGAAAGUGACGGUACCUGCAGAAAAAGCGCCGGCUAACUACGUG
RNAcentral lists this ribosomal RNA (468 nucleotides) under uncultured bacterium. Its description in RNAcentral is "partial 16S ribosomal RNA". It matches the Rfam family "Bacterial small subunit ribosomal RNA", at positions 28 to 507 of the family's 1533-position model. The record is from RNAcentral.